GCACUACUGAAGAGUCCUACAACAAGACGAAACGGUCGUCCAGUGC
Molecule: non-coding RNA, 46 nt
Organism: Schistosoma haematobium
Lineage: Eukaryota; Metazoa; Platyhelminthes; Trematoda; Strigeidida; Schistosomatidae
Source: Rfam